UACGUAGGGGGCAAGCGUUGUCCGGAUUUAUUGGGCGUAAAGAGUGUGUAGGCGGCCAGAUAGGUCAGCUGUGAAAACUCGAGGCUCAACCUCGAGACGCCGGUUGAAACCAUCUGGCUAGAGUCCGGAAGAGGAGAGUGGAAUUCCUGGUGUAGCGGUGAAAUGCGCAGAUAUCAGGAAGAACACCCGUGGCUAAGGCGGCUCUCUAGUACGGUACUGACGCUGAGACGCGAAAGCGUGGGGAGCGAACAGG
Molecule: ribosomal RNA, 253 nt
Filed under: uncultured bacterium
Lineage: Bacteria
Description: partial 16S ribosomal RNA
Rfam family: Bacterial small subunit ribosomal RNA
Source: RNAcentral